UAAAAAAAUUAUUCUAGUUUUUAUGUAAUAAUUAUUAUUAAAUAUAUAUUAGUUGUUAAUUUAAAAAAUAAUUAAGUAAAGAAAAUAAUAUGUAAUAUUAAAAAUUAAAGAAAUUUAGAUUUAGAAUAUAAAUAAAAAUUAAUAAAUUUUUGUGCCAGCAAUUGCGGUUAAACAAAUAAUUUUUAAAAUAAAAAGCUUUAUAAUAUUAAAAAGAUAAAAUUAAUAUUUAAAUUAAUUUUAAAUUAAAAAGUAAAAUUUUUAAUUUAAAAAAGGUUUAAUUUUAAAUAAUUUAAAGUUAAAAAAUAUUAUAAAUAAACUAGGAUUAGAUACCCUAUUAUAAAUAAAAAAAAUGAUUAAAAAAAAGUAUUAGUUAAAAUCUUAAAAUUUAAAGAAAAUGGCAGUAUUUUAAUCUGUUUAGAGGAAUCUGUAAUUUAAUUGAUAAACCACGAUUAAUUUUACUUAAUUUAAUUAAAUUUAUAUAUCUUUGUUAUAAAAAUAUUUUUAAAAAAUUAAUAUUUUAUAAGUUAAAUUAAAAAUUAUUUCAAAUCAAGAUAUAAUUAAUAAUUAAGCAAUUUAUGGAUUAUAAUAAAAAUAUUUAUUAAUUGGAUGAUAAAUUGAAAGUUUAUUUAAAAUUAGAUUUAAAAGUAAUUUUUAAAAAAUUGUAAAAAUGAUUUAGAUUUAAAAUAUGUACAUAUUGCCCGUCACUUUCAUUAUAAAUGAAAUAAGUCGUAACAAAGUAGAUUUAUUGGAAAAUGAAUCUAGAAAGAU
This 768-nucleotide non-coding RNA is filed under the name Marilia sp. XG-2021. The record is from RNAcentral. Lineage: Eukaryota; Metazoa; Arthropoda; Insecta; Trichoptera; Odontoceridae.